This 1034-nucleotide long non-coding RNA is filed under the name Prunus dulcis (almond). Its description in RNAcentral is "sRNA ncRNA". Lineage: Eukaryota; Viridiplantae; Streptophyta; Magnoliopsida; Rosales; Rosaceae. The record is from RNAcentral.
CAAAACCCAGAACAGCUCCGUCUUCUUUGGCACAAUUACUUCAACAACUCACAACUACAAAACCUGGCCACCGCUCCCUUGAGUUUCUGGCAUCUGGGAUGCCUUAACUAGCGGUAACAAUGCUUGCGAAGCCAUUGCCGCAAUUCGACGUGGAAUGGUACUCUUUAGGCGGGUAAAAUCUGCUCCUUGUUCAUUCAAUACUGGUUUCUAAAUUUCUCUGCAGAUUUGACAUGUUCUUAUAGUUUGGCAUUAAAAGUUUCCAACUUUGUUAUUUGUUAAGGGUGAUGUUUCAGGGUGUGUAGCAGAAUUUGAUAAGGCAAUUGAGUUGGAUCCUCGCCAACAGGCAUGUAAAUCUAGUUGUAGUUCUUGAUAAAUGAUUUUUUUUUUUUUUUUUUUGGGGGUUGUUUUUGGGAUAUGAAUUGCUGAAUUAAGUAAGUUACAUAGUGUUCGCAAUGGUUGUUAUCAGAUCUUUGGCAAAGGGGGCUAUCACUUUACCAUCUUGAUAGGUACUAGUUCUUUGAUGGUUCUUGUUAAGGUGCAUGUCAACUAAGCUGGGUGUCUUUAUGCAGAGGUUUGGAGAAGGGGCAGAGCAGUCGAUUUGGUCCAACUUAAGAUGCUAGAGUUAACAUGCUCUUUUUAUAAAAUGGAAAACUGUUGGUCCAUUCACUAUAGAUGUUGUGACAGUUUGGAUUAUUAUUGAAGCUGCAAAUGAACUUAGAGACAGGGUUAAUGCUUAAAUUUGAUUGUUAUUAUUGCACAUGAAGUAUUUUUGUCUACAACUUCAGUGAAUGGCUGUUACAUGGAGAUCAUUAAACAUUGAGAAAGAUCUAGGUAGAAGCAUGCCAAUCUUUUUUCUUUGCCUUUUUUGUAUUACAGAGUACAUUUCAUAAUAGUGGUCUGAACCUGGGACAUUCAGAGAAAUUCCGAAUCCUAACCAAUCUUAUUUUAGAUAAUUAUUUAAACUGAGGAAAUGGCAAGCUCAAUGGUCCAUGCCUCACAAUCUAAAAGACCAUAUGGUGGCUCUACCCUCUCAG